GUUGAUAAGGUUAAGUGAAUAAGGGCGCACGGUGGAUGCCUUGGCACUAGGAGCCGAUGAAGGACGGGACUAACACCGAUAUGCUUUGGGGAGCUGUAAGUAAGCUAUGAUCCAGAGAUUUCCGAAUGGGGGAACCCAAUAUCUUUUAUAGGAUAUUACUUUUCAGUGAAUACAUAGCUGAUUAGAGGUAGACGCAGAGAACUGAAACAUCUUAGUACCUGCAGGAAGAGAAAGAAAAUUCGAUUCCCUGAGUAGCGGCGAGCGAAACGGGAAGAGCCCAAACCAACAAGCUUGCUUGUUGGGGUUGUAGGACUCCAAUAUGGUAGUCUGUUAGUAUAGUUGAAGGAUUUGGAAAAUUCCGCUAAAGAGGGUGAAAGCCCCGUAGACGAAAUGCUAACAACACCUAGGAGGAUCCUGAGUACGGCGGAACACGAGAAAUUCCGUCGGAAUCCGCGGGGACCAUCCCGCAAGGCUAAAUACUCCCUAGUGACCGAUAGUGAACCAGUACCGUGAGGGAAAGGUGAAAAGCACCCCGGAAGGGGAGUGAAAUAGAUCCUGAAACCGUGUGCCUACAACAAGUCAAAGCUCGUUAAUGAGUGAUGGCGUGCCUUUUGUAGAAUGAACCGGCGAGUUACGAUUGCAUGCGAGGUUAAGUCGAAGAGACGGAGCCGCAGCGAAAGCGAGUCUGAAUAGGGCGAAUGAGUAUGUAGUCGUAGACCCGAAACCAUGUGAUCUACCCAUGUCCAGGUUGAAGGUGCGGUAAAACGCACUGGAGGACCGAACCCACGUACGUUGAAAAGUGCGGGGAUGAGGUGUGGGUAGCGGAGAAAUUCCAAACGAACUUGGAGAUAGCUGGUUCUCUCCGAAAUAGCUUUAGGGCUAGCCUCGGAAUUGAGAAUGAUGGAGGUAGAGCACUGUUUGGACUAGGGGCCCAUCUCGGGUUACCGAAUUCAGAUAAACUCCGAAUGCCAUUCAUUUAUAUCCGGGAGUCAGACUGCGAGUGAUAAGAUCCGUAGUCGAAAGGGAAACAGCCCAGACCACCAGCUAAGGUCCCAAAAUAUAUGUUAAGUGGAAAAGGAUGUGGGGUUGCACAGACAACUAGGAUGUUGGCUUAGAAGCAGCCACCAUUUAAAGAGUGCGUAAUAGCUCACUAGUCGAGUGACCCUGCGCCGAAAAUGUACCGGGGCUAAACAUAUUACCGAAGCUGUGGACUACACCAUUAGGUGUAGUGGUAGGAGAGCGUUCUAAGGGCGUUGAAGGUCGAUCGUGAGGACGGCUGGAGCGCUUAGAAGUGAGAAUGCCGGUAUGAGUAGCGAAAGACAGGUGAGAAUCCUGUCCACCGUAUGACUAAGGUUUCCUGGGGAAGGCUCGUCCGCCCAGGGUUAGUCGGGACCUAAGCCGAGGCCGAUAGGCGUAGGCGAUGGACAACAGGUUGAUAUUCCUGUACCAGUUGUUUUUGUUUGAGCAAUGGAGGGACGCAGUAGGCUAAGGAAUGCAUGCGAUUGGAAGUGCAUGUCCAAGCAAUGAGUCUUGAG
RNAcentral lists this ribosomal RNA (1535 nucleotides) under Enterococcus faecalis. RNAcentral describes it as "partial 23S ribosomal RNA". It matches the Rfam family "Bacterial large subunit ribosomal RNA", at positions 1 to 1530 of the family's 2925-position model. Lineage: Bacteria; Bacillati; Bacillota; Bacilli; Lactobacillales; Enterococcaceae. The record is from RNAcentral.